UACGAAGGGGGCUAGCGUUGCUCGGAAUUACUGGGCGUAAAGCGCACGUAGGCGGACUGUUAAGUCGGGGGUGAAAUCCUGGGGCUCAACCUCAGAAUUGCCUCCGAUACUGGCAGUCUCGAGUGCGGGAGAGGUGAGUGGAAUUCCCAGUGUAGAGGUGAAAUUCGUAGAUAUUGGGAAGAACACCAGUGGCGAAGGCGGCUCACUGGCCCGUAACUGACGCUGAGGUGCGAAAGCGUGGGGAGCAAACAGG
Molecule: ribosomal RNA, 253 nt
Filed under: uncultured bacterium
Lineage: Bacteria
Description: partial 16S ribosomal RNA
Rfam family: Bacterial small subunit ribosomal RNA
Source: RNAcentral